Molecule: ribosomal RNA, 468 nt
Filed under: uncultured bacterium
Lineage: Bacteria
Description: partial 16S ribosomal RNA
Rfam family: Bacterial small subunit ribosomal RNA
Source: RNAcentral
GACGAACGCUGGCGGCGUGCUUAACACAUGCAAGUCGAACGGAAAGGCCCUGCUUUUGUGGGGUGCUCGAGUGGCGAACGGGUGAGUAACACGUGAGUAACCUGCCCUUGACUUUGGGAUAACUUCAGGAAACUGGGGCUAAUACCGGAUAGGAGCUCCUGCUGCAUGGUGGGGGUUGGAAAGUUUCGGCGGUUGGGGAUGGACUCGCGGCUUAUCAGCUUGUUGGUGGGGUAGUGGCUUACCAAGGCUUUGACGGGUAGCCGGCCUGAGAGGGUGACCGGCCACAUUGGGACUGAGAUACGGCCCAGACUCCUGCGGGAGGCAGCAGUGGGGGAUAUUGCACAAUGGGCGGAAGCCUGAUGCAGCAACGCCGCGUGCGGGAUGACGGCCUUCGGGUUGUAAACCGCUUUCGCCUGUGACGAAGCGUGAGUGACGGUAAUGGGUAAAGAAGCACCGGCUAACUACGUG